This 305-nucleotide ribosomal RNA is filed under the name uncultured bacterium. RNAcentral's name for it is "partial 16S ribosomal RNA". It matches the Rfam family "Bacterial small subunit ribosomal RNA", at positions 334 to 641 of the family's 1533-position model. The record is from RNAcentral.
AGUUCCUACGGGGGGCAGCAGUGGGGAAUAUUGCACAAUGGGGGAAACCCUGACGCAGCGACGUCGCGUGAGUGAAGAAGUAUCUCGGUACGUAAAGCUCUAUCAGCAGGGAAGAAAAAAAGUCUUUGGCUUUGGACGGUACCUGACUAAGAAGCCCCGGCUAACUACGUGCCAGCAGCCGCGGUAAUACGUAGGGGGCAAGCGUUAUCCGGAUUUACUGGGUGUAAAGGGAGCGUAGACGGCAGCACAAGUCUGAAGUGAAAUGCCGGGGCUUAACCCCGGAACUGCUUUGGAAACUGUGCAGC